RNAcentral lists this ribosomal RNA (921 nucleotides) under Brignolia ratnapura. RNAcentral's name for it is "SSU rRNA". It matches the Rfam family "Eukaryotic small subunit ribosomal RNA", at positions 52 to 970 of the family's 1831-position model. The record is from RNAcentral. Lineage: Eukaryota; Metazoa; Arthropoda; Arachnida; Araneae; Oonopidae.
UGCAUGUCUAAGUACAUGCCGAAUCAAGGCGAAACCGCGAAUGGCUCAUUACAUCGGCCGUGGUUCCUUAGAUCGUACUUUAUUACUUGGAUAACUGUGGUAAUUCUAGAGCUAAUACAUGCAGCAGAGCUCCGACCCUCUAGGGAACGAGCGCUUUUAUUAGACCAAGACCAAUCGGGCCUCGUGUCCGUUCUUUGUGGCGACUCUGUAUAACUUUGGGCUGAUCGCACGGGCCUGUCCCGGCGACGCAUCUUUCAAGUGUCCGCCUUAUCAACUGUCGAUGGUAGGUUAUGCGCCUACCAUGGUUGUAACGGGUAACGGGGAAUCAGGGUUCGAUUCCGGAGAGGGAGCCUGAGAAACGGCUACCACAUCCAAGGAAGGCAGCAGGCGCGUAAAUUACCCACUCCCGGCACGGGGAGGUAGUGACGAAAAAUAACAAUACGGGACUCUUAUGAGACCCCGUAAUUGGAAUGAGUACACUCUAAAUCCUUUAACGAGGAUCUAUUAGAGGGCAAGUCUGGUGCCAGCAGCUGCGGUAAUACCAGUUCUAAUAGCAUAUAUUAAAGUUGUUGCGGUUAAAAAGCUCGUAGUUGGAUCUCAGUUCCAGACAGGCGGUCCGCCUAACGGCGGUUACUGCCUGGCCUGAACAACCAGUCGGUUUCCCUAGAUGAUCUUCACCGGUUGUCUUGGGUGACCGACACGUUUACUUUGAAAAAAUUAGAGUGCUCAAAGCAGGCGUAUUGCUUGAAUAAUGGUGCAUGGAAUAAUAGAAUAGGACCUCGGUUCUAUUUUGUUGGUUUUCGGAACACGAGGUAAUGAUUAAGAGGGACAGACGGGGGCAUUCGUAUUGCGACGCUAGAGGUGAAAUUCUUGGACCGUCGCAAGACGAACUACUGCGAAAGCAUUUGCCAAGAAUGUUUU